AGAGUUUGAUCAUGGCUCAGGACGAACGCUGGCGGCGUGCUUAACACAUGCAAGUCGAACGAUGAAGCCUUCGGGUGGAUUAGUGGCGAACGGGUGAGUAACACGUGGGCAAUCUGCCCUGCACUCUGGGACAAGCCCUGGAAACGGGGUCUAAUACCGGAUAUGACCUGCCGAGGCAUCUUGGUGGGUGGAAAGCUCCG
This 200-nucleotide ribosomal RNA is filed under the name uncultured bacterium. RNAcentral describes it as "partial 16S ribosomal RNA". It matches the Rfam family "Bacterial small subunit ribosomal RNA", at positions 8 to 212 of the family's 1533-position model. The record is from RNAcentral.